Molecule: long non-coding RNA, 2058 nt
Filed under: Trifolium pratense (red clover)
Lineage: Eukaryota; Viridiplantae; Streptophyta; Magnoliopsida; Fabales; Fabaceae
Description: long non-coding RNA (TPRA_LNC002012)
Source: RNAcentral
UUUCAAAAUUCUCUUUAUAUAAAUUUAAAGUAAGCCCAUAAAUAAUAUGCAUCACUUAUAUCAAACAAUCAUCUAGUAAUUUUGCUCAAAGGAUUUUCAAAUCUAAAACAUUUCCAUUUCACAUAAGUAUCGUACAAUUUUUCAAUUUAAAAUGAUAAAAAAAUAAAUUCCUACAAAAGACUCUAACCCACAAAUGAUCACAAACUGGUCAAACACUAAAGAUACAUGUCACCUAGAGAGUACUCCGAUGACGUCAUCAAUACAUAUCAAAGAGAUCAUUCUCUUCAGACUCCAAAAAUAAAACUAGACCACCAAUCAGCACUAACGUUCUUUAUUUUAAUGUCUCUCACAAUGCCAUUUUUCUUUUCUCAAUGAACUUCAACUUGAGGUCUUAGUAUCCUGCACUAACUGUUGUGAGGGGUGAAUCACUCGUACACAAGUUACCAUCGUGAUGAUGUCACAAGGCUACAGAUAAUAUUAUACAAGUAUAUACAUUUAUUUAACUAGUAUAUAUACAUACCUGAGUAUCUAAUCAUGUAUUUACAUCAAAUAGAAUCAAAUAGUCACGUAUAGUCAAAUAGUCACAAAAAUAUGAAUUGCACAAAACAUUAUAUCAAUAUCACAAUUCAACAAUUAGUCAAAAACAAAGAUAAUCAAAUAUAUCCAAUAUAUCAAUCAUCAAAUAUNNNNNNNNNNNNNNNNNNNNNNNNNNNNNNNNNNNNNNNNNNNNNNNNNNNNNNNNNNNNNNNNNNNNNNNNNNNNNNNNNNNNNNNNNNNGAUAGUCCUGCACAGUCAGGGUUCACCACGUCGGGUUGUAUGAUUUCCUCCAGUUAGAGUGGCUAUCUCUGACUAUUGGUAGGAGUUCAAGACGUCGGUGAUCCCCAUUAGGUCUUGAGGCGACCUAGACGAACCUAUCCUCAGUCUUACAUACAUUAUCGUACUGUAAGAAACACCAUGUUUUGCUCUUCACCUAUCAAAUGUGAUUAAUUAUUUAACUCUUCAACUUAAUUUGUCUUUGUCAAUAUCUAACUUAGACAUAUUAAUCCUCAAAACUCACCAUACAACUUAUGAGAUCACCUCAAACUUUCACCAUAAACACUCAAGCACAUAAUAAAUAACAAACCAAAGACAUAGAUAAUUUAUUUAUUCUUCUUCACAAAAACAAUUUCAAAUCGUAUCAUUGCAGAAGAUUUAUUCACAUAAACUCAAACCAAAUCAAAUCACUCAUCAUUUUGCAUUUUGCAUAUACCUUAAUGAAUUUAAAUUACUAUAAAGUACACAACACCCCUAAUUAUAACUAAUAAUAUAUAUACAAAUAACACAUUUCUUGUGCUCAUCGAAACUUAUUAUUAGCAAUGCCCCUUACCUCGAAGCUUUCCAAAAUAACUUGAGCAAUCACCUUCAUCUAGGACACCUAUUAACUCAUCAAAACAACUAUUUCUUAACUAACUAGAAUUAUAAUUAAAUUCUAACAAUACUAAUGUAUUAAAAGAAAUUAUGCAAGAACAGGAACCUAACAUAAUUAAGAAAAUUGCAUGACAUCUACUUCUUAUUCUCAUACGUGUAUAUGGUUUCAUAGUAAAUGAAACAAAGACUCUCAACUCAUCACAUGAAUCCAAAGUUUAGAAGUAUCUUGUUACCAACUUGUUACAUACACUUUACUUGUGAUCACUUAAAGAAUCAAUAAGGGUACUAAACAUGAGUUCAUUGCUAAUAUAAAAUCAAGUGAAAAUAGACAACCUGUUAACUAAAACAUUUGAGUAAGUGCUCUGUUUUUAGAAAUAUUGGAAAAAGACUCUUAGUUUCAUAGAGUUGGCUUAAGCUAGAAUUUAGAAGAAUUGCAUAAUAAGCACUUUGUUUCCUUCAUAAGUAAUAGGACUAUAGCUACAUUAAAGAUCUUGGAAGUUAUUGAAAAUACAAGUGUCUAAAGGUUUUUAGAAUGAAUGAAAGAGAUGAGUUACUUAAAAGAAUAAAACAAACAGAAUAUAGAGUGUUAGCGUAAUAGUAGAAUGGAAGAAAAGUUAAGAGCUUGACCUUCAGCAAGCAGGUUGCCGAAAG